Cheilinus undulatus (humphead wrasse) is the source of this 6296-nucleotide long non-coding RNA. RefSeq lists it as uncharacterized. The transcript is spliced from 8 exons. The record is from RefSeq and is a predicted model, not a curated record. NCBI's taxonomy places the organism in Eukaryota, Metazoa, Chordata, Actinopteri, Labriformes, Labridae.
UCUUUGUGUGAAUUGCUCGUUGCGGAAGAGAGCCAGGCAUUUUUUUUGCCUUUAUUGCAGAAUCUCUGUGUAAAAAUGGCUUAAGACUUGUCAGAGUGGCUUAAGUAUGAGUCUUAGUGCCAAGACUUCGAUAGUCAGAUUCCCAGUAAAGGUCAAAUGGAGAACAAGGGAAAAAGGUCAGAUGGACGUCAGGGACGACGUACCAUAUCCGUUCUUCAUGGAUCCAAAUACACAGAAGACAAACCAUCUGCUACGUCAGGGAUGAGGAAUGUUGAGGCAAAAGCAUAUUGCCCCUUCUGUGACACUGACACACAUUAGCUCAACCAGUGUUCGACCAUUUAGCAGCUCACUAAAGACCAAGUUUCCAGUUGGAUUUGGUCCCACAACAAAUGUAGGAGCUGUGUGAGGUCCAGUACCAGGCUGCACAGUGAUCUCUUAAGAAGCUCUGUGGCCUCUGCCAAGGCAAACAUCUACAAGUCCUCCAUGAAAUCAAUAACAGAGUACUAAAGGAGGAGUCAUCAGAGAAUAAUAAUAAUAAUCAUAAUAAUAUUAACUUUAUUUGUACAGCACCUUUAAAAACAGAGGUUUGCAAAGUACUUUGACAAUAAGCAGAAACACAAUUAAUACAAAGCAUCAUAGCACAAGCAAAGAACAUAAGACAAAACCACAUCAACAGGAGAACCCAUGAAAAAUAAAGCCAGCAGCAUAACUCCAGCAUCAUAAUCAUCCUAGUAGACCCAUUAUAGAGCCUAAAAACAUGCCGUUACAAAUACAUCAUGAAACCUAGAGAUAUAAAGUUCCAGAAUAAAAUAAGAAUAAAAGACACUAAAAACCCAGAAUAACAGACGAAUCCAGGCAACACAGGAACCCAACUACAUAAAAAGAGACCUAAGGACCAGAAAUGUAAGAGGUGGGUGGCAUUUUGAAUGUUAAAAUGUAUUAUUUCUGAUUUUGAGUUAUUGAGUUGAAUAAAAUUCUGUGCCAUCCAGCAAGUGAUAUCAUGUAGACAGUCUGUAACAGCAGCUAGGCUUCCAGGGUCCUCAGGUCUCAGAGGCAGGUAUAUCAGUUUGUCGUCUGCGUAGCAGUGAAAGGAGACCCGGUGAUUCUGGGUUAUUUGGCCAAGGGGCAGCAUAUAAAUGGAAAAUAAAAUGACCUAAAAUCAAACCUUGCAGUACACAAGCGAGAAUAGAGGUAGAGGAGGAGUGAUUACCUAUGGUGACCAAAAAGGUUCGCCAUAAAAGAUAGGAAUAAAACCAGCUAAGAGCAGUGUCCCUGAUGCCCACCCAGUUUCUAAGAUGCUCAAUUAAAAUAGCAUGAUCAACGGUAUCAAAAGCUGCAAUGAGAUCUAAAAUAAUUAAAAUGGCUCUCUCCCCUCUAUCAGCUGCUAAAAAUAAAUCAUUGGUCACCUUGCGGAAGGUCGUCUCAGUGCUGUGACCUGCUCUGAAACCAGACUGGAAUUUUUCAAAGAGGUUAUUGUGAGACAUAAAAGAUAAAAGCUGUGUAGGAACCACUUUUUCUAAAAUUUUUGAUAAAAAUGGAAGUUUUGAAAUAGGUCUUGUAUUAUUAAAAUCAGAGGGGUCCAGGUUGGGUUUCUUAAAAAGAUGUUGGACCACCUUCUGUGAAAGAACUAUUGAUUACUGAUAAAAUGCUGGGCCCAACUGUGUAAAAAAAAUCCUCCUUGAGAAAUUUGGUGGGGAUCUCAUCAAGAGUACUUGUAGCUGUUUUUAUCUGGGCUAAAAUUUCAGAUAAGGACAAGGACACCGGCUCAAAACUGCUAAAAUAAUUUAAAAUAUCCCUACUUGUGUUUAGAAUACAGGCUGGGGGCAUGAUGCUUUCCCUGAUGUCCUUGAUUUUCUUAUUAAAACAAACUAAAAACUUCUCAUAUAAAUCACUGGAAGCAUCAGUAAAAUGGGAAGGGGAAAGGAUGGUGAUGGACUCUAAAACCUUAAACUCUAGGAUUAGAAUGAUAAACUAAAAUUAAAUUAGAAUAAAAUGCUGCCCUUGUGUCUUUAACUGCCUUUUAAAAGUUUUUCAAUGCAUUCUUCCAAAUAUCUUUAAAAACUUUCAAACCUGAUUUCUUCCACUCUCUUUCUUUUCUUUUAUUCUGCAUUUUCUCUUUGACUCUCUUUCUCUGGCACUCUGUCAGCCACAGUUGGGUUGCAUUGUUUGACCUAUUCUCUUUAUAAGGGGCAACAGAGUCCAGGGCAGAUGUGAGCAGGGGGGCAACAGGAACCCAGCUUCCAUGCCAACCCCAGGAUCUUGCAGUUUUUGUGUCCCUGCAGUCCGAUCCACAGGUGCUGUGGAGAUGUCCUCUGCUAGCUUCCCUAAGGGGGAGCACCGCUCCUUUUGGAGGACCCUCAGCACAGCCCGGACCCGUGGCUCGACACAUAGAGUUCACCCAAGGUAGAGUUGCUACAGAGGCCGAAACCAGCUGUUACACCAGAGCGGAGGGUGGCGCUGGCUGCUGGCUGAUCCAUGGAUCCAGUCAUCCUUUUGCUGGAAUUCCAAAUCAAGGCGAUGUAGACUCUCCUCCAAAUAGAGCAGCUGAGGACAUGAAAGGAACACAUGCUGGAGGAAACCCUUCACAGGACUCCAUAAAGGGGGCUGUAAUCAUGUGGUGGAGAACCAGUUGUGCUUGGAUGGCUUUUAGGGCUCCCUGACCACAGGCCCUCAAAGUCUUAACAUCAUAAAAGAGAGACCUGCUCAUAUAAUGGGAUUACUGAAAAACAAAGGAAGCCUACCAUAAGCCUUCCUCUGAGGAGUUAUGUCUCAGUUUACCUGAGAGCCAUGAGGUUCAUAAUGUGAAUUUCAAGGAUUUGAAGGGUUGUCCUGUACCUUCAGUGUUCAGAUUGUGAGUCUGAAUAAGAAACCUGCACCCUGGUCAGGUCUGGUCUCUAACCAUGUACAGCUCAGAAGUCUUAGACAGCGAGUCCAUGUCUGUGACGCGUCAGGUAUCUGUGAAGGGAUCAUCCAGCACAAGAGGUUCCAUGUGUUUUGGCUGACAUACAUCCAAGUAAUUGAGACAGACUGAGGAAAUCUCCAGACCAAGAUUGAAGAGAAUGAAAUUUCAUAAGACCAAGAAGGCGGGGCAUUGAUGCUUUACCUUUGAGGGCUCAAGCAGCUGAGGAGAAGUUCAUGGUUUUCCAAGAAAUGAAGCUCAGUGGAAGCUGAAGCAGGUAUUCAAAGUCAAAGCUGCGACCCUCCUACACCCCAGCCAUCUCAAUCCCAUUUCAUCAGCAUCAAGUCCAGCUCUUCAUAAGUCGUCUGCUCAUCUCAUCCUGCAUCCCACACCACCACCACCACCCAUGUCCAGACUCCACAAGGGGGGUGCCCUGCCCUGCCGUUGCCUUCACUACCCCUUUGAGUACAUGAAGACAUCACAAUUUAAUUUUUAUCUCUACAGACAUUGCACAUUUCUUUAUCAUCGUUUUUUGACUGCCUCUCUCACCCUCAGAUCAAUUGACUUCAAUGAAACCUGGUCCACUUUCAUCAAUAAACUAACUCAGACUGUCACCUGAUUUCCAAUAUCGUUCCAUAACUCAUGCUUUUAGUUGGCCAUUCUAAUGAGAAUUGUUAAUUGAUAAUUAUUAUUAUCAUUAUAGUUACCAUUACUUUAUUAUUAUUAUUAUUAUUAUUAUUAUUGUUAUUAUUAUUAUUAUUAUUAUACUAUUAAGGAAUGGGAUAAUGAUAAUAAUAAUGAUGUGAUUGUUUCUUAUUAUUGCUAUUAUUGUUAUUGUCAUUUUUAAUUAUGAUUUACAAAUCUAUAGUUUGACUUUCCUGACAACACACUCCCUCCUCCCCACACAUCAGUGAUACUGCCAAGGGCCUCAGUUGUCAUUAUUAAUAAUAACUACCCCAUAUUUAUAUACAAGUUAUUAUUGUUCAUAUUAUGGUGGUAUUAUAUAUUGCUAUAUAUAUAUAUGUAUAUAUAUAUAUAUGUAUAUAUAUAUAUAUAUACAUAUAUAUAUAUACACACACAAACACACACACAUGUACAGUGCAAGUCAUGUGUACUCCUUAGAGUACACAGGCAAAAUGUUAAUGUUAUACUUUAUCUAACAGUCAAAAGCAUAAGAGAAAAGCAGUGUUUUAAGACCACUCUUAAAAGAACUUAAAGUGUCUACUGACCUCAGGUCAACUGGCAACUUAUUCUAUAGAACAGCACCAUAGUGGCUAAAUGCACCUUCACCUGAUUUGUAUUUAACUUUAGGCACAUUUAGAAGGCCCAUACCCGAAGAUCUGAGCGACCUAGUUGGGUGAUAGUGAGUGAGCAUGUCAGAAAUAUACUGGGGUGCAAUACCAUUAAGUGAUUUAUAAACAAGAAGUAGCACUUUAAAAUCGAUUCUAUAUUGGACGGGAAGACAGUGAAGAUUUUUCAGGAUUGGUGUGAUGUGUUCGAUUUUCUUUGUUCUUGUUAGAAUGCGGGCUGCAGGGUUUUGGAUGAGUUGAAGGUGAUUUAUUGUCUUUUUUGGAAGUCCAGCAUAGAGAGCGUUACAGUAAUCUAAUCUGUUGGAUAUGAAUGCAUGGACCAGUUUUUCUGAAUCAGUCUGAGACAUGAAUGACCAAAGUUUGGAAAUGUUUUUUAAAUGGUAGAAGGCUGUUUUGGUGAUGGCAGUUAUAUGUUGUUGAAAGUUUAAGUCUGAAUCAAUUAUAACUCCAAGAUUUCUGACGUGCUCACUGUACUGAAAAGGAGAUGAAGAUGAAAGCGAAAUGAAUUCUUGUCUCUGUUUUUGUGGACCAACUAGCAGGAUUUCCGUUUUAUCUGUGUUGAGCUGAAGAAAAUUCUGUGACAUCCAAUGGUGUAUUUCAUCGAUGCAUUUGACAAAGUGAUUUAUGGGAUUGAGAUUGCCAGGGGAGAGUGAGACAUAAAGCUGUAUCAUCGGCAUAUGAAUAGUAUGAGACAUUGUGUUUCUGAAUGAGUGAACCAAGUGGGAGCAUGUAAAGGCUGAACAACAGUGGACCAAGAACUGAUCCUUGUGGCACCCAACAGUCCAGACUGAAAUAGAAAGAUGGAGAGUUUGUUUGAAUCAUUGUUGAGUUUUAAAUCGUUGAUAACCUUUACCAGUGCUGUUUCUGUGCUGUGAUUGGUUCUGAAUCCUGAUUGGUAGACAUCAUUCAGAUUGUUAUGGGUGAGGUAAUUGUGUAAUUAAUUGUAGACGAAUUUUUCUAUGAUUUUACUGAAGGGAAGGUUGGAGAUGGGCCUGUAGUUGCUAAUUAUUGAUGGGUCAAGCUUGUUAUGUUUGAGUAAUGGAGUGAUAAUGGCGUGCUUUAGAGAAAUGGGGAAAUCACCAGACUGAAGAGAUGCAUUGAUAAUAUAGAGUAGAUCCUGUAACAUAACAUGAGAGACACACUUAAAUAGUUUUGUAGGAAUGGGGUCGAGAGAACAGGUAGAGGAUUUGAGGUGUUUGAUAACUUCCUCAAGGUCAUUAAUGUUCACAGGUUUAAAAUUGCACAUGUUGGUCUGGGAAUUUUUGUAAAUUGAGGAACACAGAAGGUCAGAGGUGCUGUUUUGUAGUUGAAGAGUGUUAGAUCUGAUGGUGGUAAUUUUUUCCUUGAAGUAUGUUGCAAAUUCAUUACACUUGUUUGAGGAGAGGAAGUCAGCAGGGGUUGAUCUGGUGGGAUUAAUUAGUUUAUCAAUUGUACAGAACAGGUAGCGGGUAUUAUUUUUGUUUUCAUUGAUCAUUUUUGAGAUGUGCUGCUGUUUUGACAUUUUGAUUUCUUUAUUGUAGGUGAUUAGUGUUUGUUUGUAGAUUUCAUAAUGUACGUACAGUUUGCUCUUUCGCCAUUUUCUUUCAGCCUUUCUUCAGGAUCUUUUUAGCAUCCUCACUCUUCCCCCGUUUCGAGCCUUUGUUUUUUUGUUAAUUUAUUUAGUUUUUACGGGUGCAAUAUUAUCAAUGAUGUUACUCACUGUUUUGUUGAAAUUGUCCAUCAUGUCGCUGCAUGAUGACAUGAUGGGCAAAUUAUGACUACUGUACUGCUGAAUGAACUCAGAAGAAGCAUUUUUAUCAAUACAACGUUUGUUAACAGUUCUGACCACAUUGUCAUUUGUGGUGAAACAGGUCAUACUGAAAAAGAUGCAAAAAUGGUCUGAGAGUGCAAUGUCCAGAAUACCAGGGAUUGUUAUGGUAAUAUUGAGGCCUUUUGAUAGAACCAGGUCAAGGGUAUGUCCAUGCUUAUGUGUGGGUCCGGUAACAUGCUGUAUAAAUUUAAAUGUGUCCAAGAUAUUAAGAAAUUGUUUUGUGUCCAGAUUAGCAGAAUUGUCUAUAUGUAUAUUAAAAUCACCAGAAAUGACAAUG